AUGAGGGAGACUGAUUAAACAAUCCUUUAAAACGUAUCAUUACAGCUAUAUUUCUUGGUGUGAAUAGUCUCAGUGCACUUAAACAGUGGAAUUAUUACAACACUAAUGGGGAAUAAUUAAAUAAGUUGUUUUUGUCUUCUGUUUUCUUCUUACUCCCUUUCUGGAACCGUUCUUCACCAGACUCAAACCCCAUCAUCGUGAUCAACUCCUCUCUGCAUCUCAAGUUUGCCGACAAACAUGGCAAACAAACUCUUUACAGCAGGAAAGCCAGAGAGACUCAAACUCCUUCAUCAUGAUCAACUCCUCUCUGCAUCUCAAGUUCACAGACAAACAUGGCAAACAAACUCUUUACAGCAGGAAAGCCAGAAAGGCCGUAUCCUGAGCUGAUUCUGUGGUGGUUAUCGAGGAGUAUAGAGCAUAAAACUGAUUCCUGAAAGACCCCAGUGACAGAUGAGUCUCCGCAUUGAUCCUGUGGGCCAGCCUGAACACCCACUGAUGACCUACUCACACCUGUAUCUUCUCCACACUGGAUGACCAGCGUUCUCCAGCCUCUGGCCCCUAGACUGCAGCUCUGCACAAGAAGAUUGACCAGAGGAGAAAUGGUCAAGCUCAGCUCAGCCUGGUUUCUCUUAAAGUUUUUUCCUUCACUUUAGUCAAUUAGUGAAGUUUGUUGCUUGCCACUGUCACCACUUGCUCGUUUGGUUUGUGAGUUGUGGAGCUGCACAUUGAUGGAUUUGGUCAGUGUUUGGACUUUCAGCUGUGAAAUUUAAACCA
Danio rerio (zebrafish) is the source of this 774-nucleotide non-coding RNA. The record is from RefSeq and is a predicted model, not a curated record. Lineage: Eukaryota; Metazoa; Chordata; Actinopteri; Cypriniformes; Danionidae.